UCAAUAGGUGUUGGUACAGA
Molecule: non-coding RNA, 20 nt
Filed under: Arabidopsis thaliana (thale cress)
Lineage: Eukaryota; Viridiplantae; Streptophyta; Magnoliopsida; Brassicales; Brassicaceae
Source: RNAcentral